UGGGGAAUAUUGGACAAUGGGCGCAAGCCUGAUCCAGCCAUACCGCGUGGGUGAAGAAGGCCUUCGGGUUGUAAAGCCCUUUUGUUGGGAAAGAAAUCCAGCCGGCUAAUACCUGGUUGGGAUGACGGUACCCAAAGAAUAAGCACCGGCUAACUUCGUGCCAGCAGCCGCGGUAAUACGAAGGGUGCAAGCGUUACUCGGAAUUACUGGGCGUAAAGCGUGCGUAGGUGGUCGUUUAAGUCCGUUGUGAAAGCCCUGGGCUCAACCUGGGAACUGCAGUGGAUACUGGGCGACUAGAGUGUGGUAGAGGGUAGCGGAAUUCCUGGUGUAGCAGUGAAAUGCGUAGAGAUCAGGAGGAACAUCCAUGGCGAAGGCAGCUACCUGGACCAACACUGACACUGAGGCACGAAAGCGUGGGGAGCAAACAGGAUUAGAUACCCUGGUAGUCCACGCCCUAAACGAUGCGAAGCUGGAUGUUGGGUGCAAUUUGGCACGCAGUAUCGAAGCUAACGCGUUAAGUUCGCCGCCUGGGGAGUACGGUCGCAAGACUGAAACUCAAAUG
This 562-nucleotide ribosomal RNA is filed under the name uncultured bacterium. Its description in RNAcentral is "partial 16S ribosomal RNA". It matches the Rfam family "Bacterial small subunit ribosomal RNA", at positions 355 to 907 of the family's 1533-position model. The record is from RNAcentral.